UCCGUUAUGGUGUAGUGGCUAACAUUAUCGCCUCUCAUUCACGAAGUCCUCCUGCUUGAACGCGAUAGCCCAGGGUUUGAUUCCCUGUAACGGAA
Molecule: non-coding RNA, 95 nt
Organism: Marasmius tenuissimus
Lineage: Eukaryota; Fungi; Basidiomycota; Agaricomycetes; Agaricales; Marasmiaceae
Source: the annotation of a GenBank genome assembly